UAUUUCCGGCACGGGUUUACAGAUUGAGAUGCAAGAGGGAACUUCAUCUCUUUUUCAAUCUGAUAAGCUAUGUCUAUAAUUUUUGAAGUGAGAUGCGUUGUAAGCUCUGUCUCUCUAGAAAAUACUAGUUUAUUGCGAUCCUUCCAAAGAGACCAAACCGAAACACCAAAAAAGGUAGGCCAAUCCGUGUUGCUAGCUCCAAUAUGUUUAGUAGUGAUGUUCCAUUCCAGCCAACCGUACAAGCCAAGACUGAAAAACUUGGCCCAAUUAUCUUCCGUG
RNAcentral lists this long non-coding RNA (279 nucleotides) under Trifolium pratense (red clover). RNAcentral's name for it is "long non-coding RNA (TPRA_LNC002545)". Lineage: Eukaryota; Viridiplantae; Streptophyta; Magnoliopsida; Fabales; Fabaceae. The record is from RNAcentral.